Manacus vitellinus (golden-collared manakin) is the source of this 154-nucleotide long non-coding RNA. RefSeq lists it as uncharacterized. Lineage: Eukaryota; Metazoa; Chordata; Aves; Passeriformes; Pipridae. The record is from RefSeq and is a predicted model, not a curated record. The transcript has 3 exons.
CCCUGAUUAUGGGAAAGCACCCUGCCCUCCAAGCCUGGUUUGUCCUGUGGUGCUGAGCUGUGACGAGUCACGGAUGUCACAUGGAGGAAGUGAGAGGCUGAUCCUGCAAGGCAAAGUCACUGGGACUUGAGGCCAAAACCCUAUGAGAGACUCU